AAAAUAAAAAGCAAAAAAAGUGUGAGCAUAUAUUCUUCUCAAGAGUGUGAAGAUAUUUUCCAAGCAGAGGAUUCAAAUGUGAUACAGGUUUCUUGUUCUAUCCUAGACAAAUAUGUAAAAGAGGUAUUAUGGUGUUGUGGGAAGUGAUCUAUCUGAGUGGAGAUUCCAAAUAUUGUGAGAAUACUGUUUGGCUAACUAUGAUGCGUGAAGCAAUCUAAAGCAUGUGAAAACAAAAUUAUCAACCUCUGAGUCCCUCUCUUCAUAAUCUUUUCUCAUGCCAAAAAUGCACAUUGGCUUAGCUAUGCAAUUUUGAACAGAAAAUGCCCCUUUUACAAUUAUCUUUGAAGCAUGUUUAUUUUUAUAUAUAAUUGUAUAUUAUCAUGGUUAAAUGAUUAAUAUUUUGACCUUGCUAAUUGAUCUCCUUGGUUAAUUUAGGGGAAGGUCUUUUCAUCCUGU
Molecule: unclassified non-coding RNA, 456 nt
Filed under: Hevea brasiliensis (rubber tree)
Lineage: Eukaryota; Viridiplantae; Streptophyta; Magnoliopsida; Malpighiales; Euphorbiaceae
Source: RNAcentral